This 443-nucleotide ribosomal RNA is filed under the name uncultured bacterium. RNAcentral describes it as "partial 16S ribosomal RNA". It matches the Rfam family "Bacterial small subunit ribosomal RNA", at positions 338 to 795 of the family's 1533-position model. The record is from RNAcentral.
CCUACGGGAGGCAGCAGUGGGGAAUAUUGGACAAUGGGGGGAACCCUGAUCCAGCGACGCCGCGUGAGUGAAGAAGUAUUUCGGUAUGUAAAGCUCUAUCAGCAGGGAAGAAAGAAAUGACGGUAUCUGACUAAGAAGCUCCGGCUAACUACGGGCUAGCAGCAGCGGUAAUACGGAGGGGGCAAGCGUUAUCCGGAUUUACUGGGUGUAAAGGGAGCGUAGACGGCGAUGCAAGUCUGAAGUGAAAGGCGGGGGCCCAACCCCCGGACUGCUUUGGAAACUGUAUGGCUGGAGUGCAGGAGAGGUAAGUGGAAUGCCUGGUGUAGCGGUGAAAUGCGUAGAUAUUAGAAGGAACACCAGUGGCGAAGGCAGCUUACUGGACUGUAACUGACGUUGAGGCUCGAAAGCGUGGGGAGCAAACAGGAUUAGAUACCCCGGUAGUC